CCCCUUCCAUUUCGCUUUCCCCGCACCUAUAUUCGCCCCGUCAGCUUGCCUGACUAUGGCGAUAAACGGCCGAUGAAAUAAGCCAUUCGGACCCGGGGGCGGUACCCGGCGCCUCCACCAGAAGCCGCCGUCGUCGAGCGACGGUUUCUGAUGGGGGCGAAAUAGGAUCGACGAGGGUGUAAAGAUCGGACUUUUGCCCGGCAUUGUACCACCGUUAUCGGGCUACAAUUAUAGUUGCCAACGACAACUAUGCGGAAGCACGUCUCGCUGCUUAAUGCGGCGCGAUAGCUUCAAUUCAAGCCCUAGGCCGUCGCAGGUCUAGGCGGGGUCCGGAGGCACCUGGCAACAGAAGCCUCCACU
Molecule: transfer-messenger RNA, 360 nt
Filed under: Aquamicrobium sp. LC103
Lineage: Bacteria; Pseudomonadati; Pseudomonadota; Alphaproteobacteria; Hyphomicrobiales; Phyllobacteriaceae
Description: Mesorhizobium sp. LC103 Alphaproteobacteria transfer-messenger RNA
Rfam family: Alphaproteobacteria transfer-messenger RNA
About the family: Bacterial tmRNA, also known as 10Sa RNA or SsrA, is named for its dual tRNA and mRNA-like properties. Its role is to liberate the mRNA from a stalled ribosome.
Source: Rfam by way of RNAcentral